This 376-nucleotide unclassified non-coding RNA is filed under the name uncultured Solirubrobacterales bacterium. RNAcentral's name for it is "contains 16S-23S intergenic spacer region". Lineage: Bacteria; Bacillati; Actinomycetota; Thermoleophilia; Solirubrobacterales. The record is from RNAcentral.
UCCGGUUUGUCACCGACAGUCUCACAUGAGUCCCCAACUAAAUGCUGGCAACAUGCGACAAGGGUUGCGCUCGUUGCGGGACUUAACCCAACAUCUCAAGACACGGGCUGACGACAGCCAUGCACCACCUGUGAAGGUGCCCCGAAGGGAAGCCGUGUUUCCACGGCGGUCACCCGCAUGUCAAGCCCAGGUAAGGUUCUUCGCGUUGCGUCGAAUUAAACCACAUGCUCCGCUGCUUGUGCGGGCCCCCGUCAAUUCCUUUGAGUUUUAGCCUUGCGGCCGUACUCCCCAGGCGGAGUGCUUAAUGCGUUAGCUUCGGCACGGGGGGAGUCGACACCCCCCACACCUAGCACUCAUCGUUUACGGCGUGGACUAC